GUCCCGUUGGGGACAUCUGAUAAAAUUGGAAGAGAAGAUUAGCAAGGCCCCUACGCAAGGAUGACACGCAUAAUCGAGAAAUGGUCCAAAUAAGU
This 95-nucleotide small nuclear RNA is filed under the name Rosa chinensis. Lineage: Eukaryota; Viridiplantae; Streptophyta; Magnoliopsida; Rosales; Rosaceae. The record is from RNAcentral.